Molecule: long non-coding RNA, 2341 nt
Organism: Helianthus annuus (common sunflower)
Lineage: Eukaryota; Viridiplantae; Streptophyta; Magnoliopsida; Asterales; Asteraceae
Exons: 5
Source: RefSeq, a predicted model, not a curated record
CCCUCUCCGGAUACCUAAUCGACAUCUAUCAUUCAUUUGCAUUUAAUCAAAUCACUCUCCAGGUCUCCAUGUCUGAUCGUUAUCUUCCCUUCUUCUUCAUUCUCACUCAAAAUCAUAGCUGCCCUCAAAUCCUUUCCUUUUCCUUCUAUGCCUGCAGGAGAUCAAGAAAACCCUAAUCGGCCUCAAUCGUCAGUUACGGCCUUUUAAUGUGCAGACCGUCAAUUAGGUAUCAAAGGGUUCGAUUAGGGUUUCCCAAGGAGGAACCGCCCCUCGCUUUCUGCUACACGUCCACCAUCCACGUCGCACGCCACAUCGGAAACUUCAACCGCCGCUUAGAUUUUACAGUUGUUGAUGCAGAAAGGAAUUGGAGUAUGACCAUCGUUGAAGAGAAGCUGAAUUCAAUAUAUGUUUCGAUGUUAUUAUUUUUCAUGGUUUUACUCUAUCUAGAUGUUAUACCGACACUGACUGGAGCGAACCAGUAUCAGUCAGUGUAACACACAUAGGCCAAAUAAAUCUUGAUAAUUUAAUUUAACUGGUAAAAUAAUAAUAAAUAAUGGUGAGAAAUGAUUGAAAAGUAAAUAAAUAGGGGUACAGAAACAAACAGUGAUUGACCUCCAAACUAGGAAAGCUUUAUUUUGAUAACUGAUGGUUUUUUUAACCACCAUUGCCGAUGAUCACCGUCUAGCUUUCAAUCUUUUGUCAUCUUGAUCGUUAUCUCUUUCACGUACAAUUAAAUCAGGUUCUGCAUAAGUGGAGAAGGUAUGUAUGGUACAAGCUAUAUAUUACAAGUGUCUACUUAAAAAAAGUAAAGUUUUAUAAGUUUUGGGGAUUUUAUGCAGCAAUAUUGGUGCAUAGAUGGUUGCCUGGUUCAAGAAAGAAGAAGAAAUGGGUGCAUUUGUGGCUGCAAGGGGUCGCAUUGGCUACUGGCAUAUUUGGAAUUCGGACAAAGUUUCAAGGGACACAAGGGGUUGUGGCUAAUUUCUAUAGCUUGCAUUCUUGGAUGGGUCUUCUUUGUGUUUCUCUUUUUGGGGCUCAGUUGGGUUUGAUGAAAAUUUUGGGACGAACCGAUAAGUACGGUAUAUGUCUAUAACAAGUCAGGUGAACCUACAUUCAAGCGACCGCGUCUUCAAACACCAUCACUAUUGCUGUCAUUUAAGAUCAUGAUCCUGCCGAUGGCGUCUCAAUUGAUCCUUCUAACCUCAAGUUUUAUUAGAAAAGCAUGGAUGGCGGCAGCUUGUUCCUCCUGAUUGGUGCAUCUUUAUACUUAAUUACUCAAUGUCUUCAUGUUUAUCAAUGACUGGGCAGUAGUUAUGCAGAACCUCAAGGCAACUUACAUUGGUAUCUUUAGUUUUGCAGUUGUUUAAUUAUAAUAUGAGUUGAAUCUAUGUUAUGUUAUGUAUUGUAUCCUUGCAGUGGUUUUGCAUUUUGCACAUUCUGGGUGUCUAUUAAACUUGCCAGAUCUUCAAAGGUGUAUGCUGUAGUUGUAGCCUUUUUAGUUGUGUGUAGUCAUUUGGUAAUUUAAGCUGCAACUGUAGUUAGAGAAUAUAGAAUGGCUAAAAACUUUAUACAAACAAAAACUUAAAGUAGAAACCCUUAAAUCUAUUGUUAAUACUCAUUAGGGUACACUCGGCACCGGUCGGGUACCCUGCGAGUAUUGUGAAUAGCUCGGCUACACCGCCUCAACCUCCAACCUGCUAGCAAUCAGGUAGCCCAAACUGGUACCAUAACCAUCAAUGAUAAUUUGUGAAGUGAGAUAUUAGUUUGGUUUUCAAAAUAAAUUACGAGAAGCCUGCCAUACAACUUGCGCCGAAUAAAACAAAAGUACCCGUGGCAACGCGCGGGCAUUCCCACUUGUUGGUAUUGUUAGGUUUUGAAUUUGGGAUUAAUUUUUUUUAUGUCUGGUUGUUGUUAUUAUUAGUUAGCUUUAGGGGAAUAUAUGUGUUUAUAGUUUUGGUGAAAUGAGUUGAGUUGAAUUGUGUUAAUGGUUUUGUGGAGUUGCAAGCAAUGUUGUUUGAUUGAAUGUUGGUUUGGCAUUUUGCAUUGCUGCGAUCCAGGUAGAUGCUUCGGUUGCUCGCUUUGCACCACUGGAGAAGGAGUGUACGGAGAAACAAUGCUCGAGAAAAAGGUAUUGCAGAGUUUUGUUAAUUGAAGUUUGAUGCGAUUUUGGUCGAAAUGACAUGAUUGCUAACAUAAAUGAGUUGAGGUAUUGCUCGUUGUUGUCAUUAUUUGUAGUUUGCACAUUGCAGACCCUUUUGGUUUGAUUUGGGCAACUCUAAAUCCAAUAAGACACAUACUCUUUUGAACUAAAACCUUUGUUGUUUGUUGGAAACGCUUUUUUUUA